GAUGAUGUGGAGUGUUAAAAGUA
Molecule: non-coding RNA, 23 nt
Filed under: Arabidopsis thaliana (thale cress)
Lineage: Eukaryota; Viridiplantae; Streptophyta; Magnoliopsida; Brassicales; Brassicaceae
Source: RNAcentral